AGAAGGUCUAUAAGGCAAAGGAAAAGAAUAUACUGGAGAGAUUAUUGUAGCUCAAUUGGAAGUACUAUUAAUAUAAAUGAUGUAUGGGGAAUGAUCAAGAAAAGGGAAGGUAAUAGAAGAUAGUUGAAUUAUCCAGUCCUUUCAGAUGGAGAACAGUUGGCUAUAUCAAACGCAGAGAAAGCAGAAAUGACGGUGAACACACUGAGUAAGUUACAUAGUUCAUGUAAUUUAUCAGAAGAAGAAAUGCCAGCUGCCAUAACACCCAAAAGAAGAAGAAGAAGAAGAAGAAGAAGAAGAAGAAGAAGAAGAAGAAGAAGAAGAAGAAGAAGAAGAAGCAGUUGUUUCAUUUUGGGUUGUGUUUGCCUGUCUCCAAGCAGUAGCCUCUGAUGUGGUGCAUGUUUGAGCAGAAGAUCCCUCAUACCUUUCAGUAGUUCUGCUGAACAAACCUGUGUGAUAUGAUUUCCUGAUGGUCGGUGGUGUUGUGGAGCAGUCUGCUAGUCAAGGAGAAACAGGAGAAACGUGAAGAGACCAGGGUCAUGUAGAGACGGGUGAUGAGACUGAUGCUGAACAGGUGCGUCUCUCUGCUGCAGCAGGAGCCAGAGAGAAAAUAACUGGAAAAAAACAGAAAAGAACAAGCUGCCACAGCACACGAUCUGAAGGACAAAACAUUCAUAUUAUUUACUGUGUUUACACUGGUGAGCCCUGCCACCUUUUUUUUUCUAUUAAACUGUCCUGGGUUCGUUGUUUACCUCUGGGAACAGUUGGUUUAUUCAGUUAGGGGAGUCAAAUUUCUUCUCACUGCAUAAUGCCCCUUUAAGUAGCUCACCAUACUUAAGUCAAUGUACUUAGUUACUUUCCACCUCUUUGUACAUGUCAACCUCAUGUACAAAAACACAGCUUUGUGCAACUCCAGCCUGAGCAUAAUCUUUUAAUUAUUUUUUUUCUCAAUGUCCUUUAUUGCUUUUACUGCCCAUAAUGGUUUUAUCUAUUCUUUGGUGUGAUGUUGUCUUCUCAUAGUCCUUUACUGAUUCUCAAGUGUUGCAUUCUCUUUCUUUUUCUGUGAGUUUGCCUGUUUUUAUCACUUUUAUUCCUUUAACUUGAAAUGAGUCAUUAAUUCUUUGUGUUUUUACAUUUUCUGUUCUGCCUUCUUGUUUUAACUCGUAUAGAGGUGUUAAAUCCAAGACCACCAGACUAAAGAACUCUGUCUUUCCCACUGCCAUCAGACUCCUAAACAGCAGGUAGAAGUUUACAGUCAUGUUAAAUAUUCUACCUCAUAAAUCUCCCACAUUUGCAUUUUUGCACAUUCAUAAAUGCACUCUCACAUUUGCAUGGUUUUGCAAAGGAAGAAUGUCAUUGUAGAGAAAUGUCUCAUUACUGUGCAAACGACAAUAAACAAUACAGACACAU
Molecule: long non-coding RNA, 1407 nt
Organism: Acanthopagrus latus (yellowfin seabream)
Lineage: Eukaryota; Metazoa; Chordata; Actinopteri; Spariformes; Sparidae
Exons: 3
Source: RefSeq, a predicted model, not a curated record